GCUCUUAUAGUUUAAUUAAAAACAUUAGUCUUGUAAACUAAAAUAGGACGCCCUAAGAGCUC
RNAcentral lists this transfer RNA (62 nucleotides) under Echinogammarus veneris. Its description in RNAcentral is "tRNA-Thr". It matches the Rfam family "tRNA". From Rfam's summary of the family: Transfer RNA (tRNA) molecules are approximately 80 nucleotides in length. Their secondary structure includes four short double-helical elements and three loops (D, anti-codon, and T loops). The record is from RNAcentral. Lineage: Eukaryota; Metazoa; Arthropoda; Malacostraca; Amphipoda; Gammaridae.